AGUGAACGCUGGCGGCAGGCCUAACACAUGCAAGUCGAACGGCAGCACAGGAGAGCUUGCUCUCUGGGCGGCGAGUGGCGGACGGGUGAGGAAUAUAUCGGAAUCUACCCUUUCGUGGGGGAUAACGUAGGGAAACUUACGCUAAUACCGCAUACGAACUGAGGUUGAAAGCGGCGGACCGCAAGGCGUCGCGCGGAUGGAUGAGCCGAUAUCCGAUUAGCUAGUUGGCGGGGUAAAAGCCCACCAAGGCGACGAUCAGUAGCUGGUCUGGAAGGAGGAUCAGCCACACUUGAACUGAGACACGGUGCAGACUCCUACGGGAGGCAGCAGUGGGGAAUAUUGGACAAUGGGCGCAAGCCUGAUCCAGCCAUGCCGCGUGUGUGAAGAAGGCCUUCGGGUUGUAAAGCACUUUUGUUGGGAAAGAAAAGCGGUCGGUUAAUACCCGGUCGUUCUGACGGUACCCAAAGAAUAAGCACCGGCUAACUUCGUGCCAGCAGCCGCCGCCG
RNAcentral lists this ribosomal RNA (506 nucleotides) under uncultured bacterium. RNAcentral's name for it is "partial 16S ribosomal RNA". It matches the Rfam family "Bacterial small subunit ribosomal RNA", at positions 29 to 523 of the family's 1533-position model. The record is from RNAcentral.